Molecule: non-coding RNA, 694 nt
Organism: Perca fluviatilis (European perch)
Lineage: Eukaryota; Metazoa; Chordata; Actinopteri; Perciformes; Percidae
Source: the annotation of a RefSeq genome assembly
UCUUUCUUUCUCCUUCAUACAACAACUACUCCAACUUUUAUCAACACAUAUGACCUUAAAUUAGAACCUGAAGAGGCCCCUCCCAGCCAGCUGCUCUUGAGUUGACACCAUUAGGUUUGCCAGCCACUGUACAGGAAGUGUUUAAGCGCUUCCCUUUCUUUUCCAGACCUCAGUCAGCUUAGCAAACCCAUCAGUAUAGUUCUAUUACUAACAGUGAGACUGUGUGUAAUCUGAUGCCAGAUUACAACAGUUUACAUCCCUAAAACCGUGACAUCGAGAUUGGCCGGAAGGACUUUUGAGCAACUAUUUUAUGCUGAGGAAUUAAAAAUGAUCGGUUUUCUCUUUCUCUGUUGCCUAGCAGGUGUGUGUCUGGGUCUUGAUGUCCGUCAGUCUCCCUCUGAUCUCAUCACCAAAUCUGGAGACAAAGUGGAGAUAUUCUGCAGCCAUGAUAAAACUGACUACAGGGUGAUGCUCUGGUACCAGCGCUCACCUGGAGACACGGCUAUCAAACUCAUUGGAUAUUUGAACUUUCAAGCUGUCACAAAGGAAGAGCCAUAUGAAGAGCAUUUCGAUAUCAUUGGAGAUUUGGGGGGAAAUACAGCAAAGAACGCCUCUCUUAAAAUCAAACUUUUAGAACAAGAGCACAGUGCUGUUUACUACUGUGCAGCUAGAGAAGCACGCUGACAAAUAUCCC